This 255-nucleotide ribosomal RNA is filed under the name uncultured bacterium. RNAcentral describes it as "partial 16S ribosomal RNA". It matches the Rfam family "Bacterial small subunit ribosomal RNA", at positions 524 to 777 of the family's 1533-position model. The record is from RNAcentral.
UACGGAGGGUGCAAGCGUUAUCCGGAUUCACUGGGUUUAAAGGGUGCGUAGGUGGACAGGUAAGUCAGUGGUGAAAUCCCCGAGCUUAACUCCGGGAACUGCCGUUGAUACUAUCUGUCUUGAAUAUCGCGGAGGUAAGCGGAAUAUGUCAUGUAGCGGUGAAAUGCUUAGAUAUGACAUAGAACACCGAUUGCGAAGGCAGCUUACUACACGAUCAUUGACACUGAGGCACGAAAGCGUGGGGAGCAAACAGGA